This 1251-nucleotide long non-coding RNA is filed under the name Homo sapiens (human). RNAcentral's name for it is "HSALNT0240975". The record is from RNAcentral. Lineage: Eukaryota; Metazoa; Chordata; Mammalia; Primates; Hominidae.
GGCCCUUGAUCGCUGGAAGGAUUCCGAGUUCCAACCCUUAACAACAUCCCUCCUGCAGCACAUUACCAUUGGAAAGUCCUACCUCAAGGAAAAGGACAACAACCUGUGUGGGUUCCCUCCCGACAACUGAAAUUGCACCAUAACUCCCAAGAAGAAACACUCCCAGAAACAAAAGGCAAAGACCCCUCUGAAACCAAAGAGCAAGUAUCACCGCCUGACACAUAAACUUCAUGACCUCGACAUUGAGACAAAAUCUCGCCGUGUGACCUACAACACCACUCAUUUAACUCCACCAACUUGGGGUCAAAUAAAGGUCUUAUCCCAUCAACAGAAAAAUCAUUAAGAGAAAAAUGAAUCCCCAAAACGACAGUCUGCAGAUCCCGCAAGGAAUCCGAAGACAAGUCCAAAGUCAACGACAAGCAAUGAUGGCAAUGGUGAUCCUAGUUAAUAAAAAGCGGGGAGAUGUGGGUGGCAAGCCACCCAGGUGCCGAGGCAAGAGACCGAGAGCACGAGCUGUUCCAGUGUAAUAAAAUAUAUAAAAUAACAAGAGUUAUACUGAUAUAGCUCAUAGAUAUGAUUAUAUAUAAAUACCAUUAAUCAUUAGUUUGUAGUAAUUACUCUUUAUUCAAAUAUUAUAAUAAUCCUCACUCUACAAUCAUAACCUAGAAAAAGGCAGGCCAUGCAGAGAUAGGAGCUGAGGGGACAUGGUGAGAAGUGACAAGAAGACAAGAGUGUGAGCCUUUUGUUAUGCCCAGGCAGGGCCACCAGAGGGCUCCUUGGUCUAGCAGUAAUGCCAGCGUCUGGGAAGAUGCCCGUACCAAGCGGACCAUGGUCUAGUGGUAGCGUCAGUGCCAAGGAAAAGCACCUGCUACUGAGCAGACCAGGAAAGGGAGUCUCCCUUUCCCCAGGGGAGUUUAGAGAAGACUCUACUCCACCAUCUCUUAUGGAGGGCCUGACAUAAGUCAGGCCUGCCUGCAGUUAUCCAGAGGCCUGACCGUCUCCCUGUGAUGCUGUGCUUCAGUAGUCAUGCUCCUGGUCUGCUUUCAUGUUCCAUCCUGUACACCUGGCUCUGCCUUCUAGAUAGCAAUAGCAGAAUUACUGAAAGUAUUAAAAGUCUCUGAAAUGCAGAAAUAAUGGUGUAAGCUGUCUCUCCUCUCUCUCCGCCUCGGCUGCCAAACAGGGAAAGGCUCCCUUUCCAGUGGAUGCAUGACCCACGUGACCUUACCUAUCAUUGGAGAUGGCUAACACUCC